This is a non-coding RNA of Maylandia zebra (zebra mbuna), 236 nucleotides long. Lineage: Eukaryota; Metazoa; Chordata; Actinopteri; Cichliformes; Cichlidae. The record is from RefSeq and is a predicted model, not a curated record.
GACAGAGAUGGCAGGAGAAACAAAUGGCACUUCCCUUGUCAUCCCUUUGCUGAGGUUUGUUGGGUCACACCAUCUGUGGCAAUGGCUUUCACCAGCUGCAGGACUGGGUUUUCACUGUCUUUCAGAACAGCAUUUUGAAAUGUGGAGCUGUCACAGAAGGCACAACAUAAGCACUGAAAAAAUGCAUCAAAUGCACAGUUUCAUCUGCAUGGAGCCAUUCGGUACAUGAAGAGAGG